This 292-nucleotide ribosomal RNA is filed under the name uncultured bacterium. RNAcentral describes it as "partial 16S ribosomal RNA". The record is from RNAcentral.
GGACUACACGGGUAUCUAAUCCUGUUUGCUCCCCACGCUUUCGCUGCUCAGUGUCAGUUACCUUCCAGGUCGCCGCCUUCGCCUCUGGUGUUCCUCCCGAUAUCUACGAAUUUCACCUCUACACCGGGAAUUCCGCGACCCUCUCCGGCACUCAAGCUCGCCAGUUUCGCGCGCACUUUCCAGGUUGAGCCUGGAGCUUUCACACGCGACUUAACAAGCCACCUACCAGCGCUUUACGCCCAAUAAUUCCGAACAACGCUCGCACCCUCUGUAUUACCGCGGCUGCUGGCAC